Non-coding RNA from Heterocephalus glaber (naked mole-rat), 415 nucleotides. The record is from RefSeq and is a predicted model, not a curated record. Lineage: Eukaryota; Metazoa; Chordata; Mammalia; Rodentia; Bathyergidae.
GGCUAUGAGAUGGAACCAGAUUCCUUGAACCUACAACAGUCUAUGUGUUUCCUGCCAGCUUGAACUCCAGUCCCUGACCUCCUGAUGACUUGAACACAGUUCCCACACUGAGGCACCAGAAGCCACUAGAUGGAGUCUGCCCACAGCGGUUCUGAGUUCUGAGCUCAGUUGGCCCCUCUCCAAGAUGGCUACCAGCCAGUCAUCCUCUCCUGUGUGAGGGCUGAAUCCAGAUAACUCACCCGCCACUGCAGUCCGAUGUGUCCACUGCUCCAUUCCGCUGGUAUGAGACAGCAGAGGUGUUGACCAACCUACCAACUGCCUGGAUCAUGGAGAAGGCCUAUGCCCAGGGAGAGAAGAGCUUGCAACCCUCUGAGAUUACCUUUUCUCCUUGGAUGUUAUCUUCUUCCAAGAAAAG